Long non-coding RNA from Sinocyclocheilus grahami, 83 nucleotides. RefSeq lists it as uncharacterized. The record is from RefSeq and is a predicted model, not a curated record. The transcript has 3 exons. NCBI's taxonomy places the organism in Eukaryota, Metazoa, Chordata, Actinopteri, Cypriniformes, Cyprinidae.
CAAAAUGACUGAUAUACUCAUGGCCAAUCAAAUGAAAGUAGGCGGGGUUUACUGUUCAUAAAAGCAGAGCGGGAAUUCCAGCG